This is a long non-coding RNA of Etheostoma cragini (Arkansas darter), 76 nucleotides long. RefSeq lists it as uncharacterized. Lineage: Eukaryota; Metazoa; Chordata; Actinopteri; Perciformes; Percidae. The transcript is spliced from 3 exons. The record is from RefSeq and is a predicted model, not a curated record.
AUAUCACUAACGUCACCCAUCAUGGACUUGGUCUACAUCCCAGCACAUUCUUUGUGUCACAUACAUUUUUAAUGAA